GUUCCGCGCGCUGAAGACGGAGAGCAGAUCAAUGCAUUUACCCGCGCGCACACUAAAUACACCGACACUUCUAUAUAAAGACAAAGGCCUCGGGUCUGUGUGUUAUAACGCUACCGACGCGACCAAACGACGCGGAGAGAAGACGUCGUCGUCGUCAGAGACGUAGUGAACGAGUGGACGCCCAGGAUGGAUGUUUUGUGUUUUCUGUACUUGUCUCACGUUGAGCCACGCGCACAAUACCUGCAGAUGAAAAGGUUUUGUUCGUUCGGCUCGCGUUAAGCAGAUGCAGACCCUCGCCAGUAAAACACCCCAUCGGCUGAUAUCUCUCCGUCGCGCAGUGAUAUGCUGAUUAACUAUAAAAUAUGCUCAGUCGAUGAAAUAUGCAGACUAAUUUCUAUGUUCAUUGCCUAUUUAUUUACUUGGCGUGUAGACCAAAGCAAGUAUGUUAAAAGCUUUUUAAUUAUUCAUUUACUGAUUAACCAGUAGCACUUGUAAUAUACUGUAAGGUCAACAUUUUGUGAAUUAAACCAUUACAUAUAUAACCGUGACAUUCUGUUUUCUAUGUAUAUAUUUGUAAUAAUCAGUAUAUUGCCAUUAAAACUCAAAUACAGACAAUUGAUGAAAAGCCCUGGUGUUUAAUAUGUGAAUAAGUGUGUAAAUAUCCUUACUAAAUUUUUUUUUAUAUCCUU
This is a long non-coding RNA of Puntigrus tetrazona (Sumatra barb), 689 nucleotides long. RefSeq lists it as uncharacterized. Lineage: Eukaryota; Metazoa; Chordata; Actinopteri; Cypriniformes; Cyprinidae. The transcript has 2 exons. The record is from RefSeq and is a predicted model, not a curated record.